RNAcentral lists this long non-coding RNA (994 nucleotides) under Nicotiana tabacum (common tobacco). RNAcentral describes it as "long non-coding RNA (NTAB_LNC011545)". Lineage: Eukaryota; Viridiplantae; Streptophyta; Magnoliopsida; Solanales; Solanaceae. The record is from RNAcentral.
UCAAAGUCAAGGUCCAAGUGCGACACUACUGCAACGCACAAUGAAAUGGGUAUUUUAGGAUGAGUUUCUUCAUCAUAAUUACAAACAUAUCACAAAAAACCUUUAUAAUUUCUAUACUUAGACACAUAAUCCUGACAAGUAAUCCAUAAAAAUGAAGAAGGUUGCUGCGUACUAUUGUCUUCUUCUGAUUUUUCUCAUAUUAUCAAUGGAUGCGUGGUGUCUACAAAGCCAAGCCAGGAUCUUGGAGUCGUCCCCUGUCAAAUCCCAAGGUACUGUCCAAUUAACCGUGUAUGACCAACUUCUCUAAAAGUUUAAACUGUUAAAAAGAAUAAUUAUUUUAUUUUUAAUUAUGUUUUCAAUAACCUUUAUAUCAACGAAGGCCAAUGAUAUUCCCUUACUUCUUAAGUUUUGAAUUUUAUGAGCCCUUCGAUUGUAUCCCAUGAGAAAAUCUCUCUGAUAAACAUGUUGUCGAUGAUUCGUUUCCUGUAUAUGUAGAAGAAGAUAUGAAUUAUCUAGCCCGAGGUCGUAGUGACAGGGAGGCUCAUCAUUUCGAAGACUAUUAUCCUUCACCUAAAGCAAAUACAAAUAGUCAUCAGUAUGUUUUCUAACUUCUUAGAGAUCCUUUACUUAUUUGUUGAUUCUUUUUUAUUUAAGUCCUGAAAGAGUGCUAAUAGUAAAUUCCGUCACUUGCACACAGCGGCUGAAGUCCACCGCCGUACCGGCGCCAAUGAUUCUGAAAUAGGAAAGCUCAUGAUUCGUGAAAGAAGCUAAGUCCUGGGCCAUGCAUAUGAAAUGAAGUUAUUGAAAGGAACUUAUAGAUUGUUUGGAUGGUUGUUAUCCAUUGUAUUGUAUUGUAUUGUAUUGUAUUGUUAUCCCGAAAUGAUGUUUGUUUUGAUUGUUUAUUUAAAAUUGAUUGUAUCGUAUUGAUAAAUUCAUUGUUCCGGAACAACCAAACGCCCCAUUUUAUGAAACAACCGAUUUGGUGUGGUGUCAC